UAGGGAAUCUUCGGCAAUGGACGAAAGUCUGACCGAGCAACGCCGCGCGAGUGAAGAAGGUUUUCGGAUCGUAAAACUCUGUUGUUAGAGAAGAACAAGGACGUUAGUAACUGAACGUCCCCUGACGGUAUCUAACCAGAAAGCCACGGCUAACUACGUGCCAGCAGCCGCGGUAAUACGUAGGUGGCAAGCGUUGUCCGGAUUUAUUGGGCGUAAAGCGAGCGCAGGCGGUUUCUUAAGUCUGAUGUGAAAGCCCCCGGCUCAACCGGGGAGGGUCAUUGGAAACUGGGAGACUUGAGUGCAGAAGAGGAGAGUGGAAUUCCAUGUGUAGCGGAGAAAUGCGUAGAUAUAUGGAGGAACACCAGUGGCGAAGGCGGCUCUCUGGUCUGUAACUGACGCUGAGGCUCGAAAGCGUGGGGAGCAAACAGG
This 429-nucleotide ribosomal RNA is filed under the name Gemmatimonadota bacterium. Its description in RNAcentral is "Gemmatimonadetes bacterium partial 16S ribosomal RNA". It matches the Rfam family "Bacterial small subunit ribosomal RNA", at positions 355 to 776 of the family's 1533-position model. The record is from RNAcentral. Lineage: Bacteria; Pseudomonadati; Gemmatimonadota.